This is an unclassified non-coding RNA of Papio anubis (olive baboon), 148 nucleotides long. It matches the Rfam family "Metazoan signal recognition particle RNA". From Rfam's summary of the family: The signal recognition particle (SRP) is a universally conserved ribonucleoprotein. NCBI's taxonomy places the organism in Eukaryota, Metazoa, Chordata, Mammalia, Primates, Cercopithecidae. The record is from Ensembl.
GCUGGGCGUGGUGGCGCCUGCCUGUAAUCCCAGCUACCCAGGAGGCUGAGGUGGGAGGAUUGCUUGAUCCCGGGAGGUCAAGGCUGCAGUGAGCUGUGCUUGUGCCACUGCGCUCCAGCCUGAGUCAUAGAGCAAGACCCUGUCUCGU